RNAcentral lists this transfer RNA (72 nucleotides) under Nippostrongylus brasiliensis. It matches the Rfam family "tRNA". From Rfam's summary of the family: Transfer RNA (tRNA) molecules are approximately 80 nucleotides in length. Their secondary structure includes four short double-helical elements and three loops (D, anti-codon, and T loops). Lineage: Eukaryota; Metazoa; Nematoda; Chromadorea; Rhabditida; Heligmosomidae. The record is from Rfam by way of RNAcentral.
ACAUCGGUAGCACAGUGGUCAGUGCAGUCUGCCGUUAACAGAAAGACGCGGGUUCAAUUCCCGUCCGAUGUC